GAUGAACGCUGGCGGCGUGCCUAAUACAUGCAAGUCGAGCGAACAGACGAGGAGCUUGCUCCUCUGACGUUAGCGGCGGACGGGUGAGUAACACGUGGAUAACCUACCUAUAAGACUGGGAUAACUUCGGGAAACCGGAGCUAAUACCGGAUAAUAUAUUGAACCGCAUGGUUCAAUAGUGAAAGACGGUUUUGCUGUCACUUAUAGAUGGAUCCGCGCCGCAUUAGCUAGUUGGUAAGGUAACGGCUUACCAAGGCAACGAUGCGUAGCCGACCUGAGAGGGUGAUCGGCCACACUGGAACUGAGACACGGUCCAGACUCCUACGGGAGGCAGCAGUAGGGAAUCUUCCGCAAUGGGCGAAAGCUUGACGGAGCAAUGCCGCGUGAGUGAUGAAGGUCUUCGGAUCGUAAAACUCUGUUAUUAGGGAAGAACAAAUGUGUAAGUAACUAUGCACGUCUUGACGGUACCUAAUCAGAAAGCCACGGCUAACUACGU
This 496-nucleotide ribosomal RNA is filed under the name uncultured bacterium. RNAcentral describes it as "partial 16S ribosomal RNA". It matches the Rfam family "Bacterial small subunit ribosomal RNA", at positions 28 to 506 of the family's 1533-position model. The record is from RNAcentral.